Molecule: ribosomal RNA, 253 nt
Filed under: uncultured bacterium
Lineage: Bacteria
Description: partial 16S ribosomal RNA
Rfam family: Bacterial small subunit ribosomal RNA
Source: RNAcentral
UACGGAGGGUUCAAGCGUUUUCCGGAUUUAUUGGGUUUAAAGAGUGCGUAGGUGGUUUAUUAAGUCAGUGGUGAAAUCCUGCAGCUCAACUGUAGAACUGCCAUUGAUACUGGUAAACUUGAGUUUGGUUUAGGUAAGCGGAAUUUAUGAUGUAGCGGUGAAAUGCAUAGAUAUCAUAAGGAACACCAAUAGCGAAGGCAGCUUACUGGACCACAACUGACACUGAGGCACGAAAGCGUGGGUAGCGAACAGG